UAGUGAGUACUGUGACUUAAUUUAGAUGCAAGAUUUUGUCACUGCUGGAAUUCUGACAUAAUUGUUAGUAUUUUAGUAAAGGUUUUGUAGAAAAGAUCUGGAAUAGAAUGUUUGCAUACAUUUGUGAUGUUAUCCUUGCAAUAGAUGUAUCAGUAUGUAUUUUGUGGUUGUUGUGUAGUAACGUUGUAGCUGUUAUGCAGUCAGCAUUUUAGAUCAGUUUCUUCAUCGCUGUGUAUUUGCAAGUGCUGUUGAUCGUCUCGAUCCAGUUGUAAAGGCUGAUUAUGAAGUUGCUGUGAAAUAGAAGUCGCCAAUAAUGCGAGAGAACAUUGACAUGCUUGGUGAAGAAAAUGCAGGCAAGACGACAUUGGGAGAUGCUUUUCUAGAUCAGCCAUUUAUAGAGAAGAGGGAAAGUACGGCUCUUGCUGAGCAGGGACGGUUUAUGUUGGUUCGCUGCAGAUGGCUCAGAUGUUUUCUGUUGCCUCGUUGUUGAUUGAUCCUAUUAUCGCACAUUUCACGGAUUUCAAGUUCUGAUCUGUAAAGAGAGGCUGCCAUUGUCCAACAAGUUUACUGAAAGGUGUGGCCAUUUAGAUGGUGACAGCAAAGAGAUUUCUCCCGUUUUCCUCCAAUUUCUUGAAGUCAUGUGGCAGGUCCAGUGCCAAUUUCCAUGUACUUUCCAGUUUAAUGAGA
Long non-coding RNA from Corticium candelabrum, 687 nucleotides. RefSeq lists it as uncharacterized. The transcript has 3 exons. The record is from RefSeq and is a predicted model, not a curated record. NCBI's taxonomy places the organism in Eukaryota, Metazoa, Porifera, Homoscleromorpha, Homosclerophorida, Plakinidae.